GUAACACGUGGAUCAUCUACCUCUUGAUGGGGAAUAACCCUGGGAAACCGGGGCUAAUACCGCAUAAGCCUGGAAAGGGGAAAGCAGCAAUGCGUCGAGAGAGGAGUCCGCGGCCGAUUAGCUAGUUGGUAGGGUAAAAGCCUACCAAGGCAAUGAUCGGUAGCCGGCCUGAGAGGGCACACGGCCACACUGGCACUGAAACACGGGCCAGACUCCUACGGGAGGCAGCAGUGGGGAAUCUUGCACAAUGGAGGAAACUCUGAUGCAGCGACGCCGCGUGAGUGAUGAAGCCCUUCGGGGUGUAAAGCUCUUUCGGCAGGAACGAUAAUGACGGUACCUGCAGAAGAAGCUGCGGCUAACUACGUGCCAGCAGCCGCGGUAAUACGUAGGCAGCAAGCGUUGUUCGGAAUUACUGGGCGUAAAGGGUGCGUAGGCGGUUUGGUAAGUCUUGUGUGAAAUCUUCGGGCUCAACUCGAAGUCUGCACGAGAAACUGCCGGGCUUGAGUGUGGGAGAGGUGAGUGG
RNAcentral lists this ribosomal RNA (523 nucleotides) under uncultured bacterium. RNAcentral describes it as "bacterial SSU rRNA". It matches the Rfam family "Bacterial small subunit ribosomal RNA", at positions 110 to 664 of the family's 1533-position model. The record is from RNAcentral.